UAAAACACAAUUGCACAAGAGAGGAUACAAUGAAAUAAAAAUACAGGCAGUUCUACCAGGUAUAGAGGUAGACUUGUUUAUGUAUUUGUCAAUAUCUUUUGGAUGAUACAUUGAAGCUCAACUACAGAUUACUUCAGAUCUCAAUACAACAAACUUCUGAACAUUAAAUUCUGUUUUUGGCAGUUUGGAAAUGGGGAUGGAUCUUGGUAUUAUUUAGUACCUUCAUAUCAUGUCAUUUACUGCAACACUGAUGCUUCUUGAAUCGGCGCAUUUUGCUGUCAAGUUUGAUCCUUACGUGUUUGGNNNNNNNNNNNNNNNNNNNNNNUGNUUGAGUUUUACAGCUACAGUCUGUACAGAUAUUAUUAAUGGUUACAUUGUUGAAGUUAUAUUCAAUGGAAAUAUAACAAUGGUUUAUAUAUAUGGUUUGCAAAAUGUACCUCCUUUCCUUUCACAAGUAUCAAAACCCCUUGUAAUAUUUUUCAAGUGCAUGUUUGUGGUUUGAGAUUUGAAACCUUCUUUUAUUUGUUAGAAAAAUUUACAGUAUGUGUAUUCAUAACCAUAUGUCCCACAUUCGCAAUCCAGAAUUUAGACCCUGUGGAUUCUAAGUUGAAAUGUAAAUUUAACUUGAGCUAUACUUGUUUUUCACACAUGUUAAAAGGGUUCUACCUCGUAUCACUAGGUUCUGCUGAAUCCGCGAACCCAUUAUUGUAUAUCCUCUUAUAUCCACAAUGGCCAAAAGGCUGAGAUUAGCUUUUGAAUAGUUGAUUGUGCCUCUUCCUUUUCUGGAGGCUCAAUCUAAUCUCCAUGUUGUCAUGAUAUUCUUGUGCCACAAGUGCAUAGGUUCAUAAAUCAAAAUAUACUUCCUAGAAUUAUGACAUAGUAAAUAUUAACGUAAGGAAUGGACCAAAGAAACAUGACAUAGCAAAAAUGGUCCUAAGUCCUAGAAAAAGUAAAUAUCUAUGUGCAAAGGGCGGAGCUAGAACACAGGUUACGAGUACAAUAAUUUUAAUCAAAACUCUAUAUUUGUUUUAAGAUAUAUAAUAUGUGCAAAUUAUUAAAUUUAGAACUCACUAACUUAAACAGACUUCCAUAAACUUCAAAUUCCGGCUCCACUUCUGUCUAUGAGUCACCAAUGAAGUGAAAACACUUACGGAAAUAAGGACACAAGGAAAACAAUAGAGCUUGAGGGGACUACUUAAUUCUUCUACAAAUAAUUGUUAGAUGUUAUUUAGUAUUUCUGAAAUCUUUCUUAACUAAGUGACAAUUGUAUAUAACAAGAAGAAGAGGAUAAAGAAGAGGAAGCAGAGAUGAGGAAGAAGAGGACUAGAAGUUGAGAGAGAGAGAGAGAGCAAAUAGAG
RNAcentral lists this long non-coding RNA (1358 nucleotides) under Nicotiana tabacum (common tobacco). RNAcentral describes it as "long non-coding RNA (NTAB_LNC016728)". Lineage: Eukaryota; Viridiplantae; Streptophyta; Magnoliopsida; Solanales; Solanaceae. The record is from RNAcentral.